Xyrauchen texanus (razorback sucker) is the source of this 735-nucleotide long non-coding RNA. RefSeq lists it as uncharacterized. The record is from RefSeq and is a predicted model, not a curated record. The transcript is spliced from 3 exons. Lineage: Eukaryota; Metazoa; Chordata; Actinopteri; Cypriniformes; Catostomidae.
UAUCCAGACAGCACUUAAGUUUUUUACAUCAGAGGAUGAACUGAUGCCAACUCCAACUGUAAGACAUGGGAUACUUUAUAUGCCACUGCCUGAACCUUGGACUUAGGAUGGACCCCACCGAACCUCACCGAAAUGACCUGCAGGUUGAACUGCGAUGCACCUUCUCCUUUGCAGUUUGGAGAACACUGCGACGCCACAGUCAGAUCUUUUCCCAUCCAGCUAAAGGAGAACCCGACACUCGCCGGAGACAUUCCAUCAAGCAGCCUGUUUCUAAUUGUCCAUGAAGACCAAGAUCACUAGUGUCACGCACACGUGGUGGUGUCACCUGCAGACAGGCCUAAAAACCUGAGCGAUAUAGCGGCUGUCUUCUUUAGCAAACCCUGAUGGAAGAGAUGGCAAUGAAGGCAAAGUAAAGAAUUUUAAAGUCUACAACGUAGCUCUUGGAAUAUAUAUUGCAUCAAUAAAGAAGGCGAAAAACCUUUCAACAAUUUAUCAAUGUUUAGCUGCCGCAGCUGAGGCUCUUUUGGCCGUGAUGUGCACCUGUGCUUGGGGACUGUAGCUGCUGAAGGCUCUGCUGCAGUAAGGACAGAGACUUCAGAGCAGCAGGUUGAGUUAUACCAAUGGGCCCACUGCGCUCCUAUUCAGCUCUGCCUAUAGACUCAUCUGGUUUAAGAGCAAGGACCUCAAUCAUCCUUACUGUGUUGCAAAUGGCCUCCUAUACCUUACAGAUUAUAU